GUGACCAGAGCGCGUGCGCGAGGGUGUGGGGGGAUGGGAGGGGCAGCAGCCCUCUUCCGGGGGGGAGGGGCGGCGAGGCGAGGCCUGCGGAGCGGAGGAAGACAAACAUAAAGAUGAAGUGCUUAAUUCAAGGUCACACAAUGUCGGGGAUGGACCUCCAGAUUUCCUUACUGACCUGCAUUAUCUUGUGGAUACCUGAGUGAAUUCCACACCACCCAUUUUAUAGAUGAAACCACUGAGACAUGGAGCAAUUGACUGAGUAGUCACUGCCCCACCCCUGCCUGGAGCCUCACACAUGACUCGCCUCCUCUCAGUGACCACAGGUUGGUUGAGGGGUUUAACAAGGCUAAGAAGGAAAACAAGCUCAGGGCUCCCACUGAUUGUACAUUAUGGUGAGACGUGGUCUUGUAACACAGUGGUUAAGAAUGUGACUUUGGAGCCAGCCUGCUAGGGGCUGAAUUCUGACUCAGCCAUUUACUAACUGUGUGACCUUAGGGAGGAGGACCUGGUUGAUAGAAGAAUUUAUCUCGUAGUCUUAACAUCCACUGUAAUUCCAAACUUUGAGGACGAUAGAGAUCAGUGGGCUUUGACUGCCCAGCAUGCAGUCUCCAUUCUUAGGUGGGUUCCCAAGCCUGUAAAAUGUAAGCCUUAUGCUGCUGAGGGCCAUCUUGCCACCCUGAGGGAAACGCUGCCUGAGAAUGAAACAAGCAUAAGUAAAAGCUGAGCUGUGAGAUGGAGCAAGAUGAAGGCCACAUGACAUCUUUGGAGCACCUGGAUCUAACUGUGCCUUAAGCUAGUCUAACCCUGAACAUUUCAUCAUUUCAUUGACAUGAGCCCAGGUUUUCUUUUUUUUUGGAUGGAGUCUUGCUCUGUCGCCCAGGCUGGAGUGCAGUAGCUCAAUCUCGGCUCACUGCAAGCUCCACCUCCCGGGUUCACGCCAUUCUCCUGCCUUAGCCUCCCAAGUAGCUGGGACAACAGGCGCCCACCACCACUCCCAGCUAAUUUUUUGUAUUUUUAGUAGAGACGGGGUUUUACCAUGUUAGCCGGGAUGGUCUUGAUCUCCUGACCUCAUGAUCCGCCCGCCUCGGCCUCCCAAAGUGCUGGGAUUACAGGUGUGAGCCACUGCACCCAGCCCUCAGGUUUUCCCUUUUUUUACCCCUCCUUUUGAAAAUUUGAUGUGGAAUUUUGCCACCUGCAGCCAGAAGAGUUUUAACUAAUCAGUGCCAUAAAUUUUAUAUAGUUCUCCUUGCAAAAUGUGGAUCAGCCUUUCUCAGCAAAUCCUUUGUCAUAAAGUGCUGAAUUGUAAGUUUGUCAUGAGAAUCACAUGAGAUCAUGCAUGUGAAGAACCUGGCAUUAUCCUCCUCAUAGAAAAAAACCAGUAAAUAUUAACUACAGGAAGCAAGGAAGGAGUGGGGUGAGGGGAAGAAGAAGGGGUACUGAUUUAAAAGAACCCUGGAGUCCUAAGGAUAAUCUAGGAACCCUCAGACCCAAUCCGAUACCCCUAUUCUAAAUGCUCCUAGUGCCCUGUACCUUCCCCUCAUAAGCCUUCAUUAUCAUUGUAAUGAUAUGUUUAUGUAAUAUUUUGAUUAAUGUCUCUCCUUCACUGACCUAGCAGUUCUAGCAGGGCAGUGAUUUUGCUGUGUUGCAUCCCCAGCACCUAGUCUGGUAUGUGGCAUUCAGCAUAUGUUUAUUGAAUGAAUGGCCAUGUGGUUAUUCAGAUCCUCCUUGAUUAUUGGGGUUAGGAUUGUGGCAGAAGUGGCAAAAUCAGGGAGAGUAGUCCCUGUCCCCUCUGUAUCUUAUACACUGCCCACACUCCCAACACACAUACACAUACAGAGAAUUUUGUCUCAAUUAGAUAAUUAACUUCUGCUUGGUUGUAAACCAAACCACUGGUUCUUAAACUUUCAUUGGAUCAUUUUAUUGAAGAAUUAAAUAGUGUGGUUCUGGCCUAAUGUCUGGAAAGCCUUGCAGAGGAGUGGAUUAGGUCUUUGUGAUAAACAGGCAGCCUUCCCUGCUCCUGUGUCUUUAUAAAAUCUAUUUAACUGGAGUAGUCCACCCUCCCUCAGGCUCUUACAGGAAUAUGUUGGAGGCUGUAGGAAGGUGGGAAACCGAGAGGGAAAGGACUGGGCCGCUGGAGACUUCACUCAUUCCCUAGCAAGAAACAAAAGCAGUAAAAGGUGGCCCGAGGACAACCUGAAGCUCACUCCUUCAGCACUUUUGGCUGGAGGUCACUUGUUGGAGCCCCACUCAGAGCUCAGCACACCACCCCACCAGCAGCCUCCUCCUCCCAGCUGAGGCUGCAUUUCAUCCCUUCCCCCAGCCUGCUUUCCCUGAGAUAGGGGAGUGUUUCCCAGGGCCCAUGUGACUUCCACUGGCAAGUGACGAUUACCAAUGGUUUACUAGUCAGUGAAACUACCAAAGGCUUUUGUGCUGUAGUAAUCCUUUUCCUGUUUAAAACUCUGGGGAUUUUCUAAUGUUGCCAAUAGUUUUUCAAGUCAGCAAUUACUGUGUGGAUUAUGUAAUGGCUCGGUAUUAAAAAUAGAAAAGACUGGAGUUUGCAUCUAUUUUAACCAAAUCUUGAAAACAGAGCAAAGGGAGGGGAAGGGUGGAGAGGGAGAGACCAGAGGAGGAGGGAGAAAAAGAGAUCAUGUGACUGGAUAAGACAGCUCACAAUUCACUGUGCCUUUCUCCCACCAUUUGUGGCCCAAGGACCUGUACUCCCUCCUCAGCCUCCUCUAGGGAGGGGUCCUUGAUGAGAAUUCUGAGGACACAAGACCCCUUGUGGAUAUUUCUUAGCUCAGCCUUGGUGUGCUUACCUGCUUCUGACAAGCAAAGUGGCCAAGUAGGGGAGGGAGUUGAAUCUGAUGUCCUCCACUAAGUCCAG
Molecule: long non-coding RNA, 2884 nt
Filed under: Homo sapiens (human)
Lineage: Eukaryota; Metazoa; Chordata; Mammalia; Primates; Hominidae
Description: HSALNT0033567
Source: RNAcentral